Molecule: ribosomal RNA, 300 nt
Filed under: uncultured bacterium
Lineage: Bacteria
Description: bacterial SSU rRNA
Rfam family: Bacterial small subunit ribosomal RNA
Source: RNAcentral
GUGCUUAACACAUGCAAGUCGAACGCGCAGUUCUCUGUAGCAAUACAGGGGAUGGGCGCGUGGCGAACGGGUGCGUAACACGUGGAUAACCUUCCUUCAGGUGGGGAAUAACCCAGUGAAAAUUGGGCUAAUACCGCAUAACAUGACGAUGGCACAUGCCGUUGUCUUCAAAGCCGCAAGGCGCCAGAUGAGGGAUCCGCGGCCGAUUAGCUUGUUGGCGAGGUAAUGGCUCACCAAGGCUUUGAUCGGUAGCCGGACUGAGAGGUUGACCGGCCACACUGGAACUGAGACACGGUCCAG